UUUCAUUCCCAGGUCUUCUGAUUCCAAACACUUUAUAUUCGUCAGCUGUAGUUGGCCUGGAAGUCUUGUUUCCAGUACUCGCGAGGAAUCAAAUAAACAUUCUUGUAGUGAUCCAUCUGAAACACUGUGAGCUUUCCACAAGUAGAAGCUCUAUACCAAUGUCACCGCCCAUUCUAGCUCGUAGUCCCUGGAGCUCUAACACUCAACCAUUCCCGACGAGUGUUAUCGCACAGGCUCAUAGAGACACCUGUUGUCAUACUCCUCGCCGCUACUUGGUGGUGAAGCACAGCUUCUUAACCUCUUGCCACGCCCAUUCUACAACAGAGAAACUUUCAACUCAAGAUGUUGGAAUUUUUAAA
This is a long non-coding RNA of Selaginella moellendorffii, 359 nucleotides long. RefSeq lists it as uncharacterized. NCBI's taxonomy places the organism in Eukaryota, Viridiplantae, Streptophyta, Lycopodiopsida, Selaginellales, Selaginellaceae. The transcript has 2 exons. The record is from RefSeq and is a predicted model, not a curated record.